GGUGCAGUAGCAGCUCUGAGCAUGUGCUGGACAAGCGGGCCGUCCCCUAUAAACUUUUUAUAGCUCAGGAAAAUAAACAUGUGGUUUUAGGUCUUCGCAUAGGCAGUGCUCGGCUGAGUUUGAGCUUGCUUCACAGAGCUACGAAAGAAAACAUCAGGAGAGCUCAUAAAUGUUGGAGCCAGCCAAGGGACUGUCGUGCAGACAUCUCGGCUGCGUUGGGGGCUUUGGGAGAGAAGCAGGAGGCCCCCGGGCAGCUGCCACCUCACUCCUGCCUGCUGCUGAAUGGGCUUUCCUGGGGGAGCUCACUAGGCCCCGUGUUCCCUGCUGGGGCCGGGAAACAGCUUCAGGGAGGGUCAGUGGGGUCCCUGGAGGUGGUUUCCAGGUGAGGGACCAGGGUCCGCUGGGUCACACAGCUCCUUAGAGCCAGCACCAGGGUGCUUUGUAUUUUGGUAACUUUCAAAGCACCCACCAGGGGCUGUCCAGAGGGUGGGGGUGGGGGGCACAGACCCCAGGUCAGGGAGCAGGGCAGCCGGAGAGGUUCCGGGACCACAGCUGUGGUUCGCUUCCUGGGUUUCUGGAAGAGCAGGGGUCGGGGGGAUGACUUGGAGGUUUCCGGUUAGGGCCCUGGGUGGUCAGACUCAAAUGAACAGCAUUGCUUUUGUUGCCUUUUAUGAAGCCUUUGCUUGGUGCCGGGAACUUCCGCCACGCCCCCGCAUCCUCACAGCCCUCAGAGGCCCGCACAAUCCCCAACUUGUCACUCAACGCCCCGCAAACCCAGAAGCUCAAGGCAUUUGCCCACAAGCACUCGGCUGGUAAACACACAGCCAGAGCCAGGUCCAGGCUGCCUGACCCUGAACCUGUUCUCCGGCCCAAAGAGUUCCCAGUAGCAGGUUGGGGAAAAGCAGCCAAGGAGGCUGAAGCAGGCCAGGGUCAGGAUCCUGGUGCCGGCGGGUCAGCGUGGUCCAGGCCGGAGUGGAAAUUCAGAGCAGCUGCCACAGGUCGCCCGGCUCGGGUGUGGCUGGGAGGUGGCAGCUGCCUCUAAGU
This 1044-nucleotide long non-coding RNA is filed under the name Oryctolagus cuniculus (rabbit). Its description in RNAcentral is "lncRNA (ENSOCUG00000032514.1)". Lineage: Eukaryota; Metazoa; Chordata; Mammalia; Lagomorpha; Leporidae. The record is from RNAcentral.